This 253-nucleotide ribosomal RNA is filed under the name Tepidiforma sp. RNAcentral's name for it is "partial 16S ribosomal RNA". It matches the Rfam family "Bacterial small subunit ribosomal RNA", at positions 524 to 776 of the family's 1533-position model. Lineage: Bacteria; Bacillati; Chloroflexota; Tepidiformia; Tepidiformales; Tepidiformaceae. RNAcentral also lists the same sequence under 1 other name. The record is from RNAcentral.
UACGUAGGUGGCAAGCGUUGUCCGGAUUUAUUGGGCGUAAAGCGCCCGCAGGCGGCUCAGCAAGUUUCAGGUGAAAUCUCCUGGCUCAACUGGGAGGGGUCUUGGAAAACUGCUGGGCUUGAGGCAGGGAGAGGGAUGCGGAAUACCAGGUGUAGUGGUGAAAUGCGUAGAUAUCUGGUGGAACACCAGUGGCGAAGGCGGCAUCCUGGCCCUGUCCUGACGCUCAGGGGCGAAAGCGUGGGGAGCAAACCGG